Molecule: long non-coding RNA, 426 nt
Filed under: Rattus norvegicus (Norway rat)
Lineage: Eukaryota; Metazoa; Chordata; Mammalia; Rodentia; Muridae
Description: long non-coding RNA NONRATT022170
Source: RNAcentral
AUUAAAGACUUCUAGAUUUCAAUGAAAAGGAUGAUAAAGCAUAUCCAAACUUAUGGGACACAAUUAAAGCAGUGCUAAGAGGAAAAUUUAUAGCACUAAGUGCCCUCUUAAAGAAAUUGGAGAGAUCCUAUACUAACAACUUAACAGCACACUUGAAAACCCUAGAACAAAAAGGAGCAAACAUACCCAAGAGGAGACAGCAGAAAAUUGUCAAACUCAGAGCUGAAAUCAACCAAACAAAGAAAACAAUACAAAGAAUCAACAAAACCAAAAGCUGGUUCUUUGCAAAAAUCAACAAGAUAGAGAAAAUUUAGAUUAGACUUAGCCAAACUAAAUAAAGGGCACAGGGAUACAUCCAAAUUUCAAAAUCAGAAAUGAAAAGGGAGACAUAACAACAGAAACUGAGGAAAUUUAAAAAAAAAAAAA